Molecule: long non-coding RNA, 754 nt
Filed under: Nicotiana benthamiana
Lineage: Eukaryota; Viridiplantae; Streptophyta; Magnoliopsida; Solanales; Solanaceae
Description: long non-coding RNA (NBEN_LNC034396)
Source: RNAcentral
UUUUUAGCAUAUAUAUUCGUUACUUAAAUUAUUAUGAAUCUAACCAUUAUGGUAUAUUAUAUGUUUGCUACUCUUACUAGGGUAAAUAUAGUUAAUUGAUUCCUUUCCUUUUGGACCCUCUGUUUGUUACCGUUGCCUUGACUCCUUAGUUAAAGGGGAGUCAUAAUACUAAUUGGGUUUGAUUGACACUAGUUCCUUAAUUAAUGAUUACUGCCUUGUUUGUGUACUCGUUUCUAGUACUAUAAGUACCCCACCCAUUCUAUUUGAAACAGACAAACACAUUGCAUAUCUCUCAUACACAAACACAAGUUCAAACUCUCUGAACUCUCUCUUUCAAAACACUCAGUGUUAUCUCUUUCUCUACUGUUUCUACACCCUCUUAUUCUUCUAUUUGAAUACUUCAUCGGCUGAAAGCCAAGAUUGAGUAAUCUUGGCUGUUUAUUUCUACACAACUAAGGUUCUACUACAUUGCUUACUUGGGUUUGCCUGCUGCUCUCUUUGUUGUACACUGUCAUUCUCACAUUGCUGCUCACACUCUCUGAUCACUUUGCUCUCUCUGUGCACCAUUACUCUUUGUGCUCUAUUUGUCUGCAACUGGCAUGUUACCUAUUUAAUAUACAGUUUCCAAAACUACAUGUUUUACUAGUUUUGCACUUCUUCUUGUUUCUUGUGUCCUUUUACCUAUGGUUUUUCUGUUCUUCUUGUCACUAGUAUACACUUACUAGCCUAUUUAGCUUAGAUUAGCAUGCUCCCC